AAUGCAGGAGACCCGGGUUCAGUUCCUAGGUUGUGGAAGAUCCCCUGGAGAAGGGAGUGUCUCCCCACUCUAGUAUUCUUGCCUGGAGAAUUCCAUGGACAGAGGAACCUGGCGAACUACAGUCCAGGGGGUCGUAGAGAGUCGGACCCAACUGAGUGACUAACACUUUCUGCAGCCCUGCAGAUAAGUUGAGGAGGUGCCAUCUUGGGUAAGCCUUUCAAACCAGGAGCUGUUCCUGUCACCACUUUACAGAAGAGAGAACCAAGGCUGAGCAAAAUAACUGGCCCGAGGUCCCAUGACUCUCAAGCAGCAGAGCUGGAGUUUGAAUCUGGGGCUGUGUGCUUCCAAACCCUUUGCUUUUAAUCCCCACAGUACGCCAUCUUUCAAGCUCCUUUCCAGAACUGGGAGUUGGGUGGGAGCAGUCCCAGCCCCGGGCUCCCUCUCUGAGCUCGGGGAGCCAUGGUGCUGGCCCCAGCAAAGGGGAUGGGAGAUGACGUCUCCCUCCAAGAUUGCUGCCUUUUGUCCAAAUGUGCUGGCCGGGAGCCAGGCUGGAAACUCUCUGCUC
Bos taurus (domestic cattle) is the source of this 565-nucleotide long non-coding RNA. NCBI's taxonomy places the organism in Eukaryota, Metazoa, Chordata, Mammalia, Artiodactyla, Bovidae. The record is from Ensembl.